UACGUAGGGGGCUAGCGUUAUCCGGAUUCACUGGGUUUAAAGGGUGCGUAGGUGGGCAGGUAAGUCAGUGGUGAAAUCCUGUAGCUUAACUACAGAACUGCCAUUGAUACUAUUUGUCUUGAAUACCCUGGAGGUGAGCGGAAUAUGUCAUGUAGCGGUGAAAUGCUUAGAUAUGACAUAGAACAUCUAUUGCGAAGGCAGCUCACUACGGGAAUAUUGACGCUGAGGCACGAAAGCGUGGGGAUCAAACAGG
This 253-nucleotide ribosomal RNA is filed under the name uncultured bacterium. RNAcentral's name for it is "partial 16S ribosomal RNA". It matches the Rfam family "Bacterial small subunit ribosomal RNA", at positions 524 to 776 of the family's 1533-position model. The record is from RNAcentral.